UCUAAUGUGGCAGAAUAGUGCGAUGAAUUUAAGAUUCAUAUAUAAAUUUAAUUUUCUUUAGAU
RNAcentral lists this transfer RNA (63 nucleotides) under Brasilocerus sp. 2 DTA-2012. RNAcentral's name for it is "tRNA-Leu". The record is from RNAcentral. Lineage: Eukaryota; Metazoa; Arthropoda; Insecta; Coleoptera; Phengodidae.